UAAAGUAAAAUUUAUCUUCACCGAUAUCUCCAAAUAGAGCAAAUAUUGGCAACAUGAUACGAGCUCUUGAAGUAAUUGAUCAACAUAUGCAUCUUUUGAGAUCAUUGUUACCUCUUUAGGCGUAAUUUGUAGAAAAAUAUCAGCAUGCCUACAUAUCAUGUCCAUAGUUGGACCUUAUGCAAAAUAUUUUGCCAUAUAUUUAUGAUCAUGAAUAUCCAUAAUUUGAAUCUAAGCCUUUAAUAUGAAAAGGUCUUAGAGGAUUCCUGUCACGCCCCAAUUUUAGAAAGGAAAUUUUCAAAAAUUUUGGCAUGAUAUAACUUAAAAUACUAUAAUCUCAAAACCUGUUUCAACAAAAAACAAGGAAAAUAAACUCAAUGCGGAAAGUAAAUUUAUACACAACUCCAAAUUGAGUUAAAUAUUACAUUUCCUUGUUUACAUAAAGUUGAGAGUCAAGAAAAUGAAACGCUCGCAUGAGUUUAAUAUUGUCUAUCCUAAUGUAUAUAAAAAAAAUAUAUACAAUGAACAACCACAAUCCAACAAAAAAGCCCGCCACUAAGCCUCCACCUCAACCCUGCUGAUCCUCACCUGCAAGUCUAACCCCUACACCAAGAAUUGGUACACCGAGUUAUAAACAACAAACCGGUAAGCUAAAAAACUCGUAUGAGUAAACUCAAACAUAACACAACAUUUAUCACAUCCAAUAUUCCACAAGAGAGAUUAGAUCAAUAAUUAAAAACCACACAUCCAACACAUUACCCAAGAAAUGUACCCAUGAGUCCCAGAUAUUUAAUAAAAUAUCCCUCAUGACCUACAACAACACUAUGUGUACCCAUGGGUCCCAGAUACCAUACAGUAUCUCCUAUGACCUACACUGACAGACGGACUAGAGUUCUAUUCCUAACCGCAACCAAUCACCCAGCCAAAGGCUUGGAACCUGGUUUGACUGUCUAAUAUCAAACACAAAAAUGAUAAAUAGCAUCUUAACCGCAACCAAUCACCCAAUUAAGGGCUUGAAACCCGGUUUGGCUAUUUAUCCAACAAUCAUAAUAUCACAACAUUAUCCUCAACAACCUAAUAUCACAUCAUUAUUCUCAACAACACAAUAUCGCAUCAUUAUUCUCAACAACACAAUAUCACAUCAUAAAUUAUAUCCUACCACAUGGAUAUAUUUACAUGAACAAUUUUAGAUAUUCCACAAGAAUAAUCUAUCAAAAAUCAAUAAAAUUAUGAUCACAUGAAUCUCAAAAUAGCAUUUAAAGAAAACUUGUUUUAUCUUACCUAUGAGCCGUUGACGAUCAAGCUCAUAUAUUUUUAAAAACAAUUAAAAGCAUAUUACUAAAUCCAACAUUAUCAUCAUUAUCAUCAUCACAUGACCAUAAUAACAUUCGGUUCAAAAGUGAACCUUAGUGAGAUUUACUCACCUAGAUAUCCUGCUGUGAAACCCCCAACCUAACGAAGGCAAGCCAAUCACAAAAUCACAAAUCACCUAAAAUCACACAAUUAAAAACCUUAGAAACCAAAGUAGUAAAGGAUAACACAAUACCCUUAAACUAACCCUUAGCUUAAGGGAGGACAACUUUCCAAAGUCGUUGAACUCAACGACACAAUAGAGCUGCCUCAACUCUUCAAAACCUAAACUCUAACCCAACCAAGCCAACACCAAUAAACUUAAGUCCUAGCAUAUAUACCAACUUUGCUUAAAAUCUAGCCAUACUACCACUCAACAAGCUCACAGCAACAAGGACUAGCUAACCACAGGAAACUAAGGCCGCCACUCAGCCGGACGUGCCGCCACGCGCCACCACAGGCAGCGGCGAGUAGGCCCCACGCGCCACCCCAGACUUCCGAAUUAGGAGAAACUCCCUACAACAAAGUUGAAGCUUGAAGUAAGGGGAACAACUUUCAUACCUGAGGCUUCAACCAAUUUUGGCCGGAAUCGGCCGGAAAUUGCCCCGAAAACAGUGACCCGAAUCAGACCACAACACCUGCAAAUCCGGCCUCAAAACCUCAAAAAUUUGCUUCAAUCUAUGUCUAGACACUACCAGGAGGAGGAGAGGAUCACAACUCACCUAUGGUUGCCCCUCGUCGCCGCCGUACACGGCAGCUCCGACCGUGGCACAGCAGCCCUCUUUCCGGCAACUAAGCUCCAAAUCCGGCGUGCUACACCGAGCAGCAGCUGCCCAGCCUUGGAGAGGAUGCUUGUGGGAGCCGAACGGGACCGGUGGCUGUCCAAACGGUGGCCGGACGGCAGAGCUAGCUCCGGCGGAAGUUUGGUCCUCGGGAGAGCUCGGGAGAGGAAGAGAGGGAAGGAAGAGAAGAGAGAAAAGAGAGUGGAGUGAGGGGAGUGAGGAGAGAGAGAGCUGUUUAGUGUUAGGGUUUCCAAAAAUAACCCACACACAUUUUCCUACUUAAACACUUUCCACACCCGGAACCUAACUUCCUUUGACCAUAACUUUCUCUCACAACUUCCGAUUUACGCGUGCCGCAUGUCUACGAACUCGUAUCGACAAGCUUUACAACUUUCGUGAAGGAAGUUUUCGAAGAUAACUCAUAGAAAAUAAAGUCAACUUUUGGCCUCUUAAAAGUCAAAGCAUCUUAAAUUAAACUCCCGAAACUUCAACUUCACAUAAACCAAAGAAUUUUCAUAAAUAAUCCUUUAUUAAUUAUGGGAAUAAUAUAAGGAAAAAUUAUAUGAAAAUCUAAGGUAUUACAAUUCCAAUUUAUCAAAGUCCAAUGAUGUACUCGAAUAUUGAGUUUGACCAGUGGUCCAUAUGGGUAUAAGCAUAUACUCUAUAUUUAUAUUAUAAUGGAGGAUCAUAACCUCAUCAAAUUUCAAAUGAUACUCAAAUUAAUGUGGCAUAGUUGGUGGGACGGUUAUGUACGUAACCCAAC
Molecule: long non-coding RNA, 2892 nt
Filed under: Fragaria vesca (wild strawberry)
Lineage: Eukaryota; Viridiplantae; Streptophyta; Magnoliopsida; Rosales; Rosaceae
Description: long non-coding RNA (FVES_LNC000775)
Source: RNAcentral